This 497-nucleotide ribosomal RNA is filed under the name uncultured bacterium. RNAcentral describes it as "partial 16S ribosomal RNA". It matches the Rfam family "Bacterial small subunit ribosomal RNA", at positions 28 to 507 of the family's 1533-position model. The record is from RNAcentral.
GAUGAACGCUGGCGGCGUGCCUAAUACAUGCAAGUCGAGCGAACGGACGAGAAGCUUGCUUCUCUGAUGUUAGCGGCGGACGGGUGAGUAACACGUGGAUAACCUACCUAUAAGACUGGGAUAACUUCGGGAAACCGUAGCUAAUACCGGAUAAUAUUUUGAACCGCAUGGUUCAAAAGUGAAAGACGGUCUUGCUGUCACUUAUAGAUGUAUCCGCGCUGCAUUAGCUAGUUGGUAAGGUAACGGCUUACCAAGGCAACGAUGCAUAGCCGACCUGAGAGGGGGAACGGCGACACUGGAACUGGAACACGGUCCAGACUCCUACGGGAGGCAGCAGUAGGGAAUCUUCGGAAAUGGGCGGAAGCCUGACGGAGCAACGCCGCGUGAGUGAUGAAGGUCUUCGGAUCGUAAAACUCUGUUAUUAGGGAAGAACAUAUGUGUAAGUGACUGUGCACAUCUUGACGGUACCUAAUCAGAAAGCCACGGCUAACUACGUG